Molecule: ribosomal RNA, 250 nt
Filed under: uncultured prokaryote
Description: partial 16S ribosomal RNA
Rfam family: Bacterial small subunit ribosomal RNA
Source: RNAcentral
UACAUAGGGGGCGAGCGUUGUCCGGAAUGACUGGGCGUAAAGGGUGUGUAGGCGGUUUGGUAAGUUAGAAGUGUAAUACCCAGGGCUUAACUUGGGUGCUGCUUCUAAUACUGCCGAGCUUGAGUGUCGGAGAGGAUAGUGGAAUUCCCAGUGUAGCGGUGGAAUGCAUAGAUAUUGGGAGGAACACCGGAGGCGAAAGCGGCUAUCUGGACGACAACUGGCGCUGAGGCACGAAAGCGUGGGGAGCAAA